RNAcentral lists this unclassified non-coding RNA (520 nucleotides) under uncultured Glomus. RNAcentral's name for it is "SSU rRNA". It matches the Rfam family "Eukaryotic small subunit ribosomal RNA", at positions 569 to 1095 of the family's 1831-position model. Lineage: Eukaryota; Fungi; Glomeromycota; Glomeromycetes; Glomerales; Glomeraceae. The record is from RNAcentral.
CGCAGCCGCGGUAAUUCCAGCUCCAAUAGCGUAUAUUAAAGUUGUUGCAGUUAAAAGCUCGUAGUUGAAUUUCGGGGUUAGUAGGUUGGUCAUGCCUCCGGUAUGUACUGGUCUCACUGAUUCCUCCUUCCUGAUGAACCUUAAUGCCAUUAAUUUGGUGUUUUGGGGAAUUUGGACUGUUACUUUGAAAAAUUAGAGUGUUUAAAGCAAGCUAACGCUUGAAUACAUUAGCAUGGAAUAAUGAAAUAGGACGUUCGAUCCUAUUUUGUUGGUUUCUAGGAUUGACGUAAUGAUUAAUAGGGAUAGUUGGGGCAUUAGUAUUCAAUUGUCAGAGGUGAAAUUCUUGGAUUUAUUGAAGACUAACUACUGCGAAAGCAUUUGCCAAGGAUGUUUUCAUUAAUCAAGAACGAAAGUUAGGGAUCGAAGACGAUCAGAUACCGUCGUAGUCUUAACCAUAAACUAUGCCGACUAGGGAUCGGAUGAUGUUAAUUUUUAAUGACUCAUUCGGCGCCUUACGGGA